RNAcentral lists this ribosomal RNA (628 nucleotides) under uncultured bacterium. Its description in RNAcentral is "bacterial SSU rRNA". The stretch from base 1 to 540 matches the Rfam family "Bacterial small subunit ribosomal RNA", at positions 338 to 873 of the family's 1533-position model. The record is from RNAcentral.
CCUACGGGAGGCAGCAGUGGGGAAUUUUGGACAAUGGACGCAAGUCUGAUCCAGCCAUGCCGCGUGCGGGAAGAAGGCCUUCGGGUUGUAAACCGCUUUUGUCAGGGAAGAAACGGCUUUCUCUAAUACAGAAGGCUAAUGACGGUACCUGAAGAAUAAGCACCGGCUAACUACGUGCCAGCAGCCGCGGUAAUACGUAGGGUGCAAGCGUUAAUCGGAAUUACUGGGCGUAAAGCGUGCGCAGGCGGUUAUGCAAGACAGAUGUGAAAUCCCCGGGCUCAACCUGGGAACUGCAUUUGUGACUGCAUGGCUAGAGUACGGUAGAGGGGGAUGGAAUUCCGCGUGUAGCAGUGAAAUGCGUAGAUAUGCGGAGGAACACCGAUGGCGAAGGCAAUCCCCUGGACCUGUACUGACGCUCAUGCACGAAAGCGUGGGGAGCAAACAGGAUUAGAUACCCUGGUAGUCCACGCCCUAAACGAUGUCAACUGGUUNUUGGGAGGGUUUCUUCUCAGUACGAGCUAACGCGUGAAGUUGACCGCCGNGGGAGGUAACGGUCCGCGAGGUUAGUAACGUUACGAAGGAAGUUAGACGGCGNGAGACGNGCGACGGACGACGACGAGGGAGGAGG